AUUGAACGCUGGCGGUAUGCUUAACACAUGCAAGUCGAACGGUAACAGGCCUUCGGGCGCUGACGAGUGGCGGACGGGUGAGUAACGCGUAGGAAUCUGGCUAUUAGUGGGGGACAACGUGUGGAAACGCACGCUAAUACCGCAUACGCCCUGAGGGGGAAAGGAGGGGACUCUUCGGAGCCUUUUGCUAAUAGAUGAGCCUGCGUUGGAUUAGCUAGAUGGUGGGGUAAGGGCUCACCAUGGCGACGAUCCAUAGCUGUUCUGAGAGGAAGAUCAGCCACACUGGGACUGAGACACGGCCCAGACUCCUACGGGAGGCAG
Molecule: ribosomal RNA, 321 nt
Filed under: uncultured Pseudomonadota bacterium
Lineage: Bacteria; Pseudomonadati; Pseudomonadota
Description: bacterial SSU rRNA
Rfam family: Bacterial small subunit ribosomal RNA
Source: RNAcentral